This 497-nucleotide ribosomal RNA is filed under the name uncultured bacterium. Its description in RNAcentral is "partial 16S ribosomal RNA". It matches the Rfam family "Bacterial small subunit ribosomal RNA", at positions 28 to 507 of the family's 1533-position model. The record is from RNAcentral.
GAUGAACGCUGGCGGCGUGCCUAACACAUGCAAGUCGAGCGAACGGACGAGAAGCUUGCGUCUCUGAUGUUAGCGGCGGACGGGCGAGUAACACGUGGAUAACCUACCUAUAAGACUGGGAUAACUUCGGGAAACCGGAGCUAAUACCGGACAAUAUUUUUAACCGCAUGGUUCAAAAGUGAAAGACGGUCUUGCUGUCACUUAUAGAUGGAUCGGCGCUGCAUUAGCUAGUUGGUAAGGUAACGGCUUACCAAGGCAACGAUGCAUAGCCGACCUGAGAGGGGGAUCGGCCACACUAGAACGGAGACGCGGUCCAGACUACUACGCGAGGCAGCAGAGGGGUAUCUUACGCAAGUGGCGAGAGCAUGGCGGGAAACCGCCGCGUAGGUUGUAGAGGUCUUCGGAUCGUAAAACUCUGUUAUUAGGGUAGAACAUAUGUGUAAGUAACUGUUCACAUCUUGACGGUACCUAAUCAGAAAGCCACGGCUAACUACGUG